Molecule: ribosomal RNA, 497 nt
Filed under: uncultured bacterium
Lineage: Bacteria
Description: partial 16S ribosomal RNA
Rfam family: Bacterial small subunit ribosomal RNA
Source: RNAcentral
GAUGAACGCUGGCGGCGUGCCUAAUACAUGCAAGUCGAGCGAACAGACGAGGAGCUUGCUCCUCUGACGUUAGCGGCGGACGGGUGAGUAACACGUGGAUAACCUACCUAUAAGACUGGGAUAACUUCGGGAAACCGGAGCUAAUACCGGAUAAUAUAUUGAACCGCUUGGUUCAAUAGUGAAAGACGGUUUUGCUGUCACUUAUAGAUGGAUCCGCGCCGCAUUAGCUAGUUGGUAAGGUAACGGCUUACCUAGGCAACGAUGCGUAGCCGACCUGAGAGGGUGAUCGGCCACACUGGAACUGAGACACGGUCCAGACUCCUACGGGAGGCAGCAGUAGGGAAUCUUCCGCAAUGGGCGAAAGCCUGACGGAGCAACGCCGCGUGAGUGAUGAAGGUCUUCGGAUCGUAAAACUCUGUUAUUAGGGAAGAACAAAUGUGUAAGUAACUAUGCACGUCUUGACGGUACCUAAUCAGAAAGCCACGGCUAACUACGUG